This 464-nucleotide ribosomal RNA is filed under the name Vreelandella stevensii. Its description in RNAcentral is "partial 16S ribosomal RNA". It matches the Rfam family "Bacterial small subunit ribosomal RNA", at positions 338 to 795 of the family's 1533-position model. The record is from RNAcentral. Lineage: Bacteria; Pseudomonadati; Pseudomonadota; Gammaproteobacteria; Oceanospirillales; Halomonadaceae.
CCUACGUGGGGCUGCAGUGGGGAAUAUUGGACAAUGGGCGAAAGCCUGAUCCAGCCAUGCCGCGUGUGUGAAGAAGGCCUUCGGGUUGUAAAGCACUUUCAGUGGGGAAGAAAGCCUUGGGGCUAAUACCCUCGAGGAAGGACAUCACCCACAGAAGAAGCACCGGCUAACUCCGUGCCAGCAGCCGCGGUAAUACGGAGGGUGCGAGCGUUAAUCGGAAUUACUGGGCGUAAAGCGCGCGUAGGCGGUCUGAUAAGCCGGUUGUGAAAGCCCCGGGCUCAACCUGGGAACGGCAUCCGGAACUGUCAGGCUAGAGUGCAGGAGAGGAAGGUAGAAUUCCCGGUGUAGCGGUGAAAUGCGUAGAGAUCGGGAGGAAUACCAGUGGCGAAGGCGGCCUUCUGGACUGACACUGACGCUGAGGUGCGAAAGCGUGGGUAGCAAACAGGAUUAGAUACCCUGUAGUC